GGGGGGGGAGGGCAGAAAACACAGAGUGCACACCUGCCACACUCUGGCCCAGCUACACCUCUGCCCUUAAGCAAGUCCUCUGAAAGUCAGGCAGAAGUGCAAUUCCCACACUUCUGCUUGAAUAUGAAAUGUGAAACCUUACCCGGUAAUUUAUCCCCACUCACAUGUGGAUUAAUUACAGCUCCUCUUUUUCUCAGUUUUGCCAGCUUGUGUGGUUGCUUAAGUUGCUCUUUUUGUGAUUAGGUGUUUUAAAGGCGGUAGGUAGAGGGAAAGUGGAAGGAUAUUACCUCCAUUGCUAGUUCAAAUAAUGGCUUUGCAGCAGCGGUAAAAAUGAUUUGUGCAAAUUCUCACACUCCUCCCCCCCGCACCAUCAUCGUGUUCAUGUUAAUGGCUUGCAAACAGGGCUGAAGGUAACAGCUUUUUAAAAGGAGUUUAAUAUCAAGGAUAUCUUAAGUGCCUAAGUACUGCAGCGAAUUUAGCGAAAGUGAGACUUGCAACCAAAGAUUCCAAAUCAAUGAAACGAUCUGGGAGUAUGUGAAAUGGGAGCUUCACAAAAGAUUGGCAGAUGUAAACCCUUAUCAGUAUUUGAAUGGAAGUCCGUUACCUUAAAAGAACAAAAGGUACAAAGAGAUGCGGGAUUUCAAAUAUGGUCCUGACUCUGAAUUCCAUUGCCUGAUUUCAACUCCUCUUACCCCAAGAUUCUGCAAGGAAUAUUUAGCAGUCUGUCUCAUUCUACCAUCUUAGUCUGGAUGCUGGAAUGCCUCUAGGCCCUGGUUUCUCCUGAUCUUCCAUUUCUCCUACUAUGCUGAAAUCGUUACGGACGACACAAUGAAGAGACGAGAUGCAGCGAUAUCAGGA
Molecule: long non-coding RNA, 858 nt
Organism: Sphaerodactylus townsendi
Lineage: Eukaryota; Metazoa; Chordata; Lepidosauria; Squamata; Sphaerodactylidae
Exons: 3
Source: RefSeq, a predicted model, not a curated record